Molecule: ribosomal RNA, 253 nt
Filed under: uncultured bacterium
Lineage: Bacteria
Description: partial 16S ribosomal RNA
Rfam family: Bacterial small subunit ribosomal RNA
Source: RNAcentral
UACGAAGGGGGCUAGCGUUGUUCGGAUUUACUGGGCGUAAAGCGCACGUAGGCGGAUCGUUAAGUCGGGGGUGAAAUCCCGGAGCUCAACUCCAGAACUGCCUUCGAUACUGGCGAUCUUGAGUCCGGAAGAGGUGAGUGGAACUCCUAGUGUAGAGGUGGAAUUCGUAGAUAUUAGGAAGAACACCAGUGGCGAAGGCGGCUCACUGGUCCGGUACUGACGCUGAGGUGCGAAAGCGUGGGGAGCAAACAGG